RNAcentral lists this unclassified non-coding RNA (357 nucleotides) under Hevea brasiliensis (rubber tree). Lineage: Eukaryota; Viridiplantae; Streptophyta; Magnoliopsida; Malpighiales; Euphorbiaceae. The record is from RNAcentral.
AACGUUUGAUGAGAGAUAUCAAUAGGAGCAAGCUGAAAAUAGCACUACGUCAGGACAAUUUUCCUUCAAAGCCAAUCCCUGAGUUGCCUUAUAAUUCGCUAAUCGAAGUGACAGAGCUAAGAAUCCUUUCUUGCUUCUGCAUCCUGAUGUCUCCAUGGAUUAAGAGCGUCUCUUACAGCCUUGGCUUCAGGAGAAUUCUCCCAUGCUCUCUUUUCCGCUUCUAGAACAGUCACCUUAUCAUAAAAUCCAGUCUUAAUCAUGAAAAACUCCAUGGAACCUCCAAUCAUGGCCGAAACAACAGCAAUUUUCAGAUACCAAUCCCAGAAUUUCAUUUUACCCUUGUAAAACUGCUUCAAU